Molecule: ribosomal RNA, 468 nt
Filed under: uncultured bacterium
Lineage: Bacteria
Description: partial 16S ribosomal RNA
Rfam family: Bacterial small subunit ribosomal RNA
Source: RNAcentral
GACGAACGCUGGCGGCGUGCUUAACACAUGCAAGUCGAACGGAAAGGCCCUGCUUUUGUGGGGUUCUCGAGUGGCGAACGGGUGAGUAACGCGUGAGUAACCUGCCCUUGACUUUGGGAUAACUUCAGGAAACUGGGGCUAAUACCGGAUAGGAGCGCCUGCUGCAUGGGGGGGGUUGGAAAGUUUCGGCGGUUGGGGAUGGACUCGCGGCUUAUCAGCUUGUUGGGGGGGGAGUGGCUUACCAAGGCUUUGACGGGUAGCCGGCCUGAGAGGGUGACCGGCCACAUGGGGACUGAGAUACGCACCAGACUCCUACGGGAGGCAGUAGUCGGGAAUAUUGCACAAUGGGCGGAAGCCUGAUGCAGAAACGCCGGGUGCGGGAUGCCGGCCUUCGGGUUGUAAACCGCUUUAGCCUGUGACGAAGCGUGAGUGACGGUAAUGGGUAAAGAAGCACCGGCUAACUACGUG